Non-coding RNA from Acanthosepion pharaonis, 91 nucleotides. The record is from the annotation of a GenBank genome assembly. Lineage: Eukaryota; Metazoa; Mollusca; Cephalopoda; Sepiida; Sepiidae.
GCCGAUUCUCGUACGAUCAUCGAAGUUAAGCAACGUCGAGACUGAUCAGUACUUAGAUGGGUGACCACUUGGAAUUAUCAGGUGUUGUAAG